CCAAUAGCGUAUAUUAAUGUUGUUGCAGUUAAAAAGCUCGUAGUUGAACUUCGGGAUCAAUGGGUCGGUCAUGCCGUCGGUAUGUACUGAUUUUAUUGGUUCUCACCUUCUAAGGAACCGUAAUGUCAUUAGUUUGAUGUUGCGGGGAAUUAGGACUGUUACCUUGAAAAAAUUAGAGUGUUUAAAGCAGGCUAACGCUUGAAUACAUUAGCAUGGAAUAAUGAAAUAGGACAUCAGAUUCUAUUUUGUUGGUUUCUAGGAUCGAUGUAAUGAUUAAUAGGGAUAGUUGGGGGCAUUAGUAUUCAAUUGUCAGGGGUGAAAUUCUUGGAUUUAUUGAAGACUAACUACUGCGAAAGCAUUUGCCAAGGAUGUUUUCAUUAAUCAAGAACGAAAGUUAGGGGAUCGAAGACGAUCAGAUACCGUCGUAGUCUUAACCAUAAACUGUGCCGACUAGGGAUCGGAUGAUGUUAAUUUUUUAAUGACUCAUUCGGCACCUUACG
This 500-nucleotide unclassified non-coding RNA is filed under the name uncultured Glomus. RNAcentral describes it as "SSU rRNA". It matches the Rfam family "Eukaryotic small subunit ribosomal RNA", at positions 591 to 1092 of the family's 1831-position model. The record is from RNAcentral. Lineage: Eukaryota; Fungi; Glomeromycota; Glomeromycetes; Glomerales; Glomeraceae.